RNAcentral lists this long non-coding RNA (2005 nucleotides) under Gadus morhua (Atlantic cod). Its description in RNAcentral is "lncRNA (ENSGMOG00000032373.1)". The record is from RNAcentral. Lineage: Eukaryota; Metazoa; Chordata; Actinopteri; Gadiformes; Gadidae.
GUCUAUGGGUAAUAACAUGGUGUUUUUGAAUGAGAGUACACAGAGAUGGAAAUUAACUUUUUUGCCCACCAGCCACUGUGGCAGGUAGAUUUAAAAAUCUACCAGCCACUCAUCUUUUUUACCAGCCACUUUUUAUGCGCUAUAUAUUUUUUUAAUAUAUGCGUACAUUUUAAACAAUAUAAUAGUAACAAUAGAUAAGAAAACUGCUUUUCAUACACAUCAUUUUUCAAUCAGAAGUGAUUCUUACUGUAAGUAGGUGCUACCAAGGAACUGAGUUGAAAAUGUCACACUCUUACCGCAUAUGAUAAACAAUACACAGGUAUCUGCCAUGUUAAUGUCAAAGGUGUUACGAUGACAAGUUUGGGGAUAAUGCAUCUGUACAAAGGAUUUUCAAUAAAAAAAAAAUUGACAUAUUAACAAUAAAACAACAUGCAUGGCUACACCAUCAUAAGUCAAUCUAAUUAGUGCCUGAAUACAAAUGUGUCCACAGACAUGGUAACUAACGUAUGAUAGUAUGCAUUAUUGGCCCUUAAAGGCCAACUAGGCAACUUUUUUAGCCAAAAUUACAUUAAGUAUGCAGGUUGAGAGUUAUGCUGAUGGUUCUGCAUCAAUUUCUGGGUCGAUUGGUGGGUGUGUCAUUUUCCCAUGUCGCCUCUACAGUGAAAAAGCGCACAUGCAACUUGAUGUGUUCGGACCGAGCGCACCCGGAUGUGACGCCGCGGAAGUAUCCUCGAAAAUGUAGUCAGAUUGUAGUUUCGAAAAUGCUUUACGGCACAGACACACACCCAAACAUGGCACCGGCUAGAUAUAAACAGCCAGUUGCGAGGCAAUUGUUGCAUUCAUCAUGGAUCAAUCGACUAAUGAAUAAAGAAAGAUGUCGGCCGUAUGCUUCUGUGCAAGGGUCACUACUCUCUGCCAGUGACGUCGGGUCAAGCUCCGCGCUGAUUGGCUAUCGUGGCUAAGCGUCACACGUUGGAGCGUUGAAAGUUCAACUCUGGGCGUUGGUGCUUUACGGCAAAGACCCCCAAACACGGAACCGGCUCGAUAUAAACACAAGUAACUAAGGGAUUGUUAUAUUCAUCAUAGAUCAGCCGACUAAAAAGAGACAGAGAAACCCAAUGUCGGAGAAACAGAAGAAGAGAAAAGGGAGACUGACCGACAGAGAGGCCAGACACGAGUAAACAUUGGGCAAGCUUUUCAGGAAUAGCGUGAACUGAAAGAAAAAGAAGACUGCAAAUCAGACGCCGACUCGGCCGUGUUGCUUUUGAAAUUGAAAGUACCCUUGCGUGAACUUUGUCUUCGUGGUAUUCUUGAUGUUGAUAGUCUCUGUACAAAUGUGUUUGCUCAACCAUUUUGUUGUGAGCCCUGUAAAAAUUGUUUUCUCGACCGUUUUGUUGUGAACCCUGUAUGUUUCUAGCUUGCUUGGUUGCAACCAAGUUUCCAUGGGUGUUUUGCAGUUCGUCCGUCUCGUCCCCCAGAUACAGACUGAAUCCCCGAAUCCAGGUUCUUGUUUAUUUAGAUUAUUAUGUUGGCCAAACCUCUUACACUGAUUGUUCUGUUCAACCUAAGAUAUAACAAUUAUAAUCUAGGAUAUAAAUUCUCCCCGUCAACUAUAAAAAAUUAUGGAUUUAUGUUUAUUGCAAUACAAAUACACCAUUUUAAAAACGUAUAACCUUGCCUACACUUUAUGAAAUGCACAUGGCUCGCGUAGAAGUGCAUGGGGAAGGGUCGUCAACGAGUUGUUACGACAGUGUUGUGAAAUAUCUACUAUGAAGCUGUAGGGGGCGCUGUGUAGAGAAAUGUGCGUGCCAAAACCAAGAAAACAACAAAGAAAUUCCCGAAGUUGCAUAGUGGGCCUUUAACACUAAUAUUCAGAAAAAACAUUGCCUCAAAAGGCUAUUGGCUUAAGCAAUACAAGUAGAGGCAUAUACUUGACCUUUAUACCCUGAACUUUUAAACGUUGCAAACGUGCAAAAAAAUAAUUAUAUAUUUAUGUGGCAUUCAG